This 253-nucleotide ribosomal RNA is filed under the name uncultured bacterium. Its description in RNAcentral is "partial 16S ribosomal RNA". It matches the Rfam family "Bacterial small subunit ribosomal RNA", at positions 524 to 776 of the family's 1533-position model. The record is from RNAcentral.
UACAGAGGGUGCAAGCGGUAAUCGGAAUUACUGGGCGUAAAGCGCACGUAGGCGGCUAUGUAAGUCAGGUGUGAAAUCCCCGGGCUCAACCUGGGAACUGCACUUGGGACUGCAUGGCUAGAGUAUGGGAGAGGCAGGCGGAAUUCCCGGUGUAGCGGUGAAAUGCGUAGAUAUCGGAAGGAACAUCAGUGGCGAAGGCGGACUUCUGGUCGGACACUGACGCUCAGGCGCGAAAGCGUGGGGAGCAAACAGG